AAAUGGACACGAUUCACGAAUCCUCAAGAAAAAGAUCCGGAGAGGAUCCUGUUGGACUAGCCCAUAAUACAUUCCUUGCGUGCUCUGUAUCUGUCGGCCUCAUUUUUCACAUGCAGACAUGACAACACAACAUCAACUAACAACAAGAAGUAUGGACCAACCAAUCAGUUAACAAUUGAAACGCCUGGCAAAGCAUGAACCAAUCUCUUAAAUUCCUAGAGCAAAGGAAAUUAAUUUACACCUUAAUUUUAUUCAGCAUGGCAAGUGCUCCAUUAUUGUCACCUUCAUUGGCUCCCAACAAGUCUCAAAACGAUGAGCUUCUCCCCUUAAUCAGUCACCCAAAAUUCGCUGUCCAAGGGGAGAUUAUGAUGCUGGUUCUAGUCUUGCUAUUUGCCACCUUCCUCAUUGCUCUCUUACUCUUUCUCCACAGAAGGGGUACUUUUCCUGGUUCUUCACAUGAAGCUGAUCAUGGACCCAAUUUGAGGGAUGCUCAUAGCUAGCCUGGCUAUAGUAAUAAUGGGUGUGGCAGAAUCUUUAUUUCCAUCUUCUGAUAUAGCAUGGAAGAACUUCAUAAUAAUUCAAGAUGAAGCAUUAGUGAGUUAUUGGUUCUUUUAUUCCCAUCUAGGUUUGAUUGUAAAAUAUAUCCUUAUCCUUAAGUGUUGCCAUUAUUCUUACCAAUGCUAGCUAUUUUAAGUAAGUUAUUGAUUAACAUUUCUUUUUCGUCUAAAUAUUAUUGGUUGCAAAAGACUUUUAACUCAAUUGGUUAAUAAUAUUUACUCUACAUCUGAGGUAUCGAGUUUGAGUCACCCCUUUUCUAUAUUGCAUGUAUAAAUAUUGGUUAGUUUCUAUUAGAUUAUUUUGACAUUUUCUAGGGAAUUCAGUUAUUUCAAAAUAUGAUUGGACCAUUAGAAUUGCUAAGGUUUUAUCUUUCCUCUUACUGAGAGAGGUUAGAGAUUGGUUUUGGAUAUUUCUACAACCAAGAUAAAGUGAUUAUAUAUAUAAAACUAGGCCAGACAAACGGGUUGUGUCUGUUAUGUUUGUGUCAUUUUCAUAUAACACCUGUAAUCUUAACAGGUCGUGUCGUGUCAUAUCCAUUAUCUUAACGGGUCUUUAACAGGUCGGGUCACUUUACCCCGUUAUGACCCGUUAAGAAAAAUAUUUUUUUUCUUCUUAAAUUUGCACAUACCACACAUUGCCACAUAAAUAUUACUUCAAAACAUUAAAACACAUUUAUCGUUUAAGUACUAAAUCUACACUCUAAAAUAAGAGCCUAAUAAACAAACAUCCAUACACUAGUAGUCUAUUACAAAAUAUUAAAUGUGCAAGGAUAAGCAAAAUGAAAGAGUUUGUUUUUCCUUUCUCAAAAGUUUAAACAUUGCCAAUGGAACUCAAAGCUUGCAUGUUAUUCCGUUUACAAAAUCCUCAAUUUUCAUCGAUCAUCAUGACAUAAGAUUUUGUGGUAUCCACUAGUGUAAAUAUUUUAAAUUGAAGGUCGAAUUCAUUCAUUGUAUUCAUAUAGGGUCAAGUAGUGUAGCUGUAAAAAAUCAUCAAAAUAGAAGUUAAAAUCACCGUUAAAUCGUGAUUUUUCGUUGAUAAUCGUCGAAAAUUUUUGUCCUGUUACUUGAUAUCUGAAUGUUUGUUUUUUGCGAUUUUUGGCGUAUGCGAUCUUAAAGCAUAUACAAACAAGUUUGACGGUUAGAUAGUUAAAAUUAGUUUCGUAGAAUGCAUAUCCCAUCAAAACGAUAGAUUCACUAACACUUAGAGUUUAUUUAUACUUUCAUUAAGUAUAACAUAAGAUUUUGUGGUAUCCACUAGUGUAAAUAUUUUAAAUUGAAGAUUGAAUUCAUUCAUUGUAUUCAUAUAAGGUCAAGGAGUGUAAUUGUAAAAAAUCAUCAAAAUCAGGGUUAAAAUAACCGUUAAAUCGUGAUUUUUCUUUGAUAACUGUCGAAAAGUUUUGUCCCGUUACUUGAUCUCUGAAUGUUUGUUUUUUGUAAUUUUUGGCAUAUAUGAUCUCGAAGUAUAUAUAAACAUGUUUGACGGUUUGAUCGUUGAAACUAGUUUCAUAGAAUGCGUAUCCUAUCAAAACAAUAGAUUCACUAACACUUAAGAGUUUAUUCAUACUUUCAUUUAAGUAUAACAUAAGAUUUUGUGGUAUCCACUAGUGUAAAUAUUUUAAAUUGAAGAUCGAGUUCAUUCAUUGUAUUCGUAUAGGGUCAAAGAGUACAGCUGUAAAAAAUCAUCAAAAUCGGAGUUAAAAUAACCGUUAAAUCGUGAUUUUUCAUUGAUAACCGUCGAAAAUGUUUGUCCCGUUACUUGAUCUCUGAAUGUUUGUUUUUUGCGAUUUUUGACAUAUACGAUCUUGAAGCAUAUACAAACAAGUUUGAUGGUUGGAUCGUUGAAAUUAGUUUCGUAGAAUACGUAUUCCAUCAAAACGCUAGAUACACUAACACUUAAGAGUUUAUUCAUACUUUCAUUAAGUACAAUAUAAGUUUUUGUGGUAUCCACUAGUAAAUAUUUUAAAUUGAAGAUCGAAUUCAUUCAUUGUAUUCAUAAAGGGUCAAGGAGUGUAGCUGUAAAACAUCAUCAAAAUCGGAGUUAAAAUAACCGUUAAAUCGUGAUUUUUCGUUGAUAAUCGUCGAAAAGUUUUGUCCCGUUACUUGAUCUUUGAAUGUUUUUUUUUUCGAUUUUUGGCGUAUGUGAUCUUGAAGCAUAUACAAACAAGUUUGACAGUUGGAUCGUUGAAAUUAGUUUCGUAGAAUGCGUAUCCCAUCAAAAGGAUAGAUUCACUAACACUUGAGUUUAUUUAAACUUUCAUUAAGUAUAACAUAAGAUUUUGUAGUAUCCACUAGUGUAAAUAUUUUAAAUUGAAUAUUGAAUUCAUUCAUUGUAUUCAUAUAGGGUCAAGGAGUGUAGCUGUAAAAAAUCAUCAAAAUCGGAGUUAAAAUAACUGUUAAAUCGUGAUUUUUCGUUUAUAACUGUCGAAAAGUUUUGUCCCAUUACUUGAUCUUUGAAUGUUUGUUUUUUGCAAUUUUUGGUGUAUGCGAUUUUGAAGUAUAUACAAAUAUGUUUGAUGGUUGGAUCGUUGAAACUAGUUUUGUAGAAUGCGUAUCCUAUCAAAACAAUAGAUUCACUAAGACUUAAGAGUUUAUUCAUACUUUCAUUAAGUAGUGUAAAUAUUUUAAAUUGAAGAUCGAGUUCAUUCAUUGUAUUCAUAUAGGGUCAAGGAGGGUAGCUGUAAAAAAUAAUCAAAAUCAGAGUUAAAAUAACCGUUAAAUCGUGAUUUUUCGUUGAUAACCGUAAAAAAGUUUUGUCCCGUUACUUGAUCUUUGAAUGUUUGUUUUUUGCGAUUUUUUGCUGAUGCGAUCUCGAAUCAUAUACAAACAAGUUUGACGGUUGGAUCGUUGAAAUUAGUUUCGUAGAAUUUGUAUCCCAUCAAGUUCAAUGGUGUGUGUAUAUAUAUAUAUAUUUAUUAAGUAGAUUUAAAUUUAUUUAUUUUGUACAUAUAACACUUAAGAAAUUGAACGGUAUGUAUAU
RNAcentral lists this long non-coding RNA (3534 nucleotides) under Malus domestica (apple). RNAcentral describes it as "long non-coding RNA (MDOM_LNC011584)". Lineage: Eukaryota; Viridiplantae; Streptophyta; Magnoliopsida; Rosales; Rosaceae. The record is from RNAcentral.